RNAcentral lists this ribosomal RNA (1957 nucleotides) under Pseudomonas aeruginosa. RNAcentral describes it as "bacterial LSU rRNA". It matches the Rfam family "Bacterial large subunit ribosomal RNA", at positions 984 to 2925 of the family's 2925-position model. The record is from RNAcentral. Lineage: Bacteria; Pseudomonadati; Pseudomonadota; Gammaproteobacteria; Pseudomonadales; Pseudomonadaceae.
ACACACGGCGGGUGCUAACGUCCGUCGUGAAAAGGGAAACAACCCAGACCGCCAGCUAAGGUCCCAAAGUUGUGGUUAAGUGGUAAACGAUGUGGGAAGGCUUAGACAGCUAGGAGGUUGGCUUAGAAGCAGCCAUCCUUUAAAGAAAGCGUAAUAGCUCACUAGUCGAGUCGGCCUGCGCGGAAGAUGUAACGGGGCUCAAACCACACACCGAAGCUGCGGGUGUCACGUAAGUGACGCGGUAGAGGAGCGUUCUGUAAGCCUGUGAAGGUGAGUUGAGAAGCUUGCUGGAGGUAUCAGAAGUGCGAAUGCUGACAUGAGUAACGACAAUGGGUGUGAAAAACACCCACGCCGAAAGACCAAGGGUUCCUGCGCAACGUUAAUCGACGCAGGGUUAGUCGGUUCCUAAGGCGAGGCUGAAAAGCGUAGUCGAUGGGAAACAGGUUAAUAUUCCUGUACUUCUGGUUACUGCGAUGGAGGGACGGAGAAGGCUAGGCCAGCUUGGCGUUGGUUGUCCAAGUUUAAGGUGGUAGGCUGAAAUCUUAGGUAAAUCCGGGGUUUCAAGGCCGAGAGCUGAUGACGAGUCGUCUUUUAGAUGACGAAGUGGUUGAUGCCAUGCUUCCAAGAAAAGCUUCUAAGCUUCAGGUAAUCAGGAACCGUACCCCAAACCGACACAGGUGGUCGGGUAGAGAAUACCAAGGCGCUUGAGAGAACUCGGGUGAAGGAACUAGGCAAAAUGGCACCGUAACUUCGGGAGAAGGUGCGCCGGCUAGGGUGAAGGAUUUACUCCGUAAGCUCUGGCUGGUCGAAGAUACCAGGCCGCUGCGACUGUUUAUUAAAAACACAGCACUCUGCAAACACGAAAGUGGACGUAUAGGGUGUGACGCCUGCCCGGUGCCGGAAGGUUAAUUGAUGGGGUUAGCGCAAGCGAAGCUCUUGAUCGAAGCCCCGGUAAACGGCGGCCGUAACUAUAACGGUCCUAAGGUAGCGAAAUUCCUUGUCGGGUAAGUUCCGACCUGCACGAAUGGCGUAACGAUGGCGGCGCUGUCUCCACCCGAGACUCAGUGAAAUUGAAAUCGCUGUGAAGAUGCAGUGUAUCCGCGGCUAGACGGAAAGACCCCGUGAACCUUUACUGUAGCUUUGCACUGGACUUUGAGCCUGCUUGUGUAGGAUAGGUGGGAGGCUUUGAAGCGUGGACGCCAGUUCGCGUGGAGCCAUCCUUGAAAUACCACCCUGGCAUGCUUGAGGUUCUAACUCUGGUCCGUGAUCCGGAUCGAGGACAGUGUAUGGUGGGCAGUUUGACUGGGGCGGUCUCCUCCUAAAGAGUAACGGAGGAGUACGAAGGUGCGCUCAGACCGGUCGGAAAUCGGUCGCAGAGUAUAAAGGCAAAAGCGCGCUUGACUGCGAGACAGACACGUCGAGCAGGUACGAAAGUAGGUCUUAGUGAUCCGGUGGUUCUGUAUGGAAGGGCCAUCGCUCAACGGAUAAAAGGUACUCCGGGGAUAACAGGCUGAUACCGCCCAAGAGUUCAUAUCGACGGCGGUGUUUGGCACCUCGAUGUCGGCUCAUCACAUCCUGGGGCUGAAGCCGGUCCCAAGGGUAUGGCUGUUCGCCAUUUAAAGUGGUACGCGAGCUGGGUUUAGAACGUCGUGAGACAGUUCGGUCCCUAUCUGCCGUGGACGUUUGAGAUUUGAGAGGGGCUGCUCCUAGUACGAGAGGACCGGAGUGGACGAACCUCUGGUGUUCCGGUUGUCACGCCAGUGGCAUUGCCGGGUAGCUAUGUUCGGAAAAGAUAACCGCUGAAAGCAUCUAAGCGGGAAACUUGCCUCAAGAUGAGAUCUCACUGGGAACUUGAUUCCCCUGAAGGGCCGUCGAAGACUACGACGUUGAUAGGCUGGGUGUGUAAGCGUUGUGAGGCGUUGAGCUAACCAGUACUAAUUGCCCGUGAGGCUUGACC